Molecule: transfer RNA, 79 nt
Filed under: Cronartium comandrae C4
Lineage: Eukaryota; Fungi; Basidiomycota; Pucciniomycetes; Pucciniales; Coleosporiaceae
Description: tRNA-Pro (GGG) (tRNA-Pro-GGG-2-1)
Source: RNAcentral
GUGCACUUGUCUCAGUGGUUAGAGCUCCCUUCUAGAUUCUGGGGAAAUUAGGUCAUGUGUUUGAGUCUCGUAGUGCACA